GCAUUGAGCUGCUCUUACGUGGUAUUUUUAAUAUUUUGCUUCGAGGUACAGUUCUAUCGAAAGAAAAGUGACCGUUUUAUAUUAAUUAAUUGCUACAAGAUCUUUGUAGUACAACCUCAGGGAGGUUCUAGGGAAGCUAGAGAGUGAGAAUAUCGAUGCUUAUGGCCUUGUAGAGUGAGAGGACAGUGACUGAGAUCAUAGCUAGGUAGGAAGCUUCCUUUCAGAGGUCAAACUAAAAAGAAAGAGCCUGAGAAUCCUGAGGAAGACGCACUUGAGGUGGACUAUCUUCCUGAACCUGGUGAAGAAAAUAUUUCCCGGGAAAAAGGCGUCUGCUGAUAGAACCUCAAAUACAAGUUUCUGCAGAUCAUGAUUGAGUCCUGAGUGAGCCAUGUCACCGUGAGAGCAUUCUGAACACUUAUAUCAUGUGUUCAUUCACUUCGUAACAUCAUACAAUAUUGUUUGUGUACAUAAUUGUGAAUUUUUGUUAACAA
Halichondria panicea is the source of this 491-nucleotide long non-coding RNA. RefSeq lists it as uncharacterized. NCBI's taxonomy places the organism in Eukaryota, Metazoa, Porifera, Demospongiae, Suberitida, Halichondriidae. The transcript is spliced from 2 exons. The record is from RefSeq and is a predicted model, not a curated record.